RNAcentral lists this long non-coding RNA (25582 nucleotides) under Citrus sinensis (sweet orange). RNAcentral describes it as "long non-coding RNA (CSIN_LNC000993)". The record is from RNAcentral. Lineage: Eukaryota; Viridiplantae; Streptophyta; Magnoliopsida; Sapindales; Rutaceae.
UUGCUUCCCUUUGUUGCCUUUGAACGGUUUUGCUUGGGGUGGCGGUGCAUUUUCUGAACUAGUUGAGUUUUCUAACUCUAGAUUAUUUUCUGACACUAUCAAUUUGGGAAUUCUUCUGACAGAUGCAGGGACAACGCCGGAGAGGUUAUUCUUGGAAAGAUCCACGGCAGAAAUGUUUGGAAUAUUUCCGAGUUGUGAAGGUAUCGUGCCAUUUAUGAAGUUAUGGCUUAAAUCAAGUUGUCUCAGAUGUGUAAGGUUGCCUAUCUCCGACGGAAAUAUUCCGCUUAAAGUGUUGUGGCUUAAUACCAAGUUCUGUAACUGCGAGCAAUUCAUGAGUUCUGGAGGAAUGGAGCUGCUGAGCUGAUUAUAACCAAGAUUCAAAGAGGUGAGGUUGGUUAAAUAACCAAUUGUUGGAGGAAUGGGUCCAAUUAGAUUGUUCCCGUCAAGAGACCGAGAAUCAAGAUACUUCAGAUUUCCAACUUCCCGAGGCAGCAGACCACUAAGUUGGUUUGAAGAAAGAACCAGAGAUGUUAAGUUGGUUAAAUUUCCAAUGGUCGAUGGAAUUGGACCAUCAAGUCUGUUGUGAGACAAGUCCAAAAUUUCCAACAAGUUUAAAUAACCAAUGGUCGAAGAAAUAGGUCCAGUGAGAUUGUUCCUAUGUAGAAGGAGAAUCUUAAGAUUCUUCAUAUUUCCAACUUCUUUAGGCAGUGGACCAACAAGAUUGUUGUAAGCCAAGUACCACUCUAUUAACGGAUUUAAAUGAUAAAGUGUUGAAGGAAUAGGUCCAGUUAGAUUGUUACUAUCCAGAUACAAUAACUCAAGAAUCUUGAGAUUUCCAACUUCUCGAGGCAGACGACCACUAAGCUUGUUUAAAGAAAGGUUCAAACCCGUCAACUUGGUUAAAUUACCUAUGCUCGAUGGGAUUAGACCAUCUAGUUUGUUACCUUGCAGCAUCAGAUAAUCAAGAUCCUUCAAAUUUCCAAUUUCUAGUGGGAUAGAACCAUUGAGAAUGUUAAUAGAUAGAUCCAGUUGGAAGAGAUUCCUCGAACUCCCGAUCUCUGAAGGGAUAGUACCUAUCAUAUACAUAUACAUCUGCAUAUGACUAAUUAUUGAUAAAUUAUCAAUAUUAUCCAGUACCGAUAGGAAAAUAAUUUGUAUGCGGUGAAAUUCUAUAUAAUGGUUACCUGUUAGAUGGUUCUGAGACAGGUUAAGCACUUGGAGUUUUGAAAGAGCACCAAUUUCUGAUGGUAUCCUUCCCGACAAAAAACCAGUGCCCGAAAUUUUGAAAGUUAUGAGAUUGGGAAAGCAAGUGAAGUUGAAUUGGCUAAGCUCUGCUGCGUUGCCAUUAUUAUCCAUCUCGUAAGAACUUAUCUCGACUAUGCUUCCUGCUGAAUUGCAAGUGAUUCCCAUCCACUUGCAAUGAUCUGAAGUAUAGUUGGCCGUCGCCCAACUGCUAUUCCACCAGCCUGAAUUAAGUAAAGCUUCCCUUUCUAACUGUAUGGCUGACGAUGCAUCAGAUGCUGUUAGAACUGCAUUAUCAGUUAUAACAGGAACAAUAAUACUGCUUAUAAAAGUUAUAAUGACCACCAAUUUUGAAAUGGAGGAAUCCGGUGCCAUUUUUAUAAGUUUUUGGUUGAUUAGAUUCAGCCAGUGCGUGCCUGCUUUUAUAACCAAACAUUAAGUUUGACGGCAACACUCAAUCAUGUUUAGCCCGCGUUGACCUUUCUCCCCCAUCGUCAAAAUUGGCAUACGCGUUAUCAAACACAAGGGUCAGUUGAGUUAAUGUCUUUUUAGGCCACUAAUUACUAUUUCUAAUUAAUUUCGCAAAGGCUACAUGUGAUUCAUAUUAUCUACAAUAUCUAAAAUAUUGAUGGAUAUUCUUUGUACAUGUCUCUUCCUCUUUCUAUUUAAAUCCAACAAUAUGUAACCAUUAAUAGUAAUUAAUUAUAAGUCUUUUGAAACAUUCAUUUAUUUUAUUAUGCUAGCAAUUAAACUUUAGUGACUUAAAAUACAUUAAUUAAUUAACAUAGGAAGAGAGGUUCUUUUAUCUUCCCUCAAUAAUACCACUAGGGCUUAAGUUUAAUUUUAAUAAUUUUAAUGUCUCUUCUUCUUUCUAUUUAAAUCUAACAAUAUGUAACCAUUAAUAAUAAUUAAUUAUAAGUCUUUUGAAACAUUCAUUUAUUUUAUUAUGCUAGCAAUUAAACUUUAGUGACUUAAAAUACAUUAAUUAAUUAACAUAGGAAGAGAGGUUCUUUUAUCUUCCCUCAAUAAUACCACUAGGGCUUAAGUUUAAUUUUAAUAAUUUUAAUGUCUCUUCUUCUUUCUAUUUAAAUCUAACAAUAUGUAACCAUUAAUAAUAAUUAAUUAUAAGUCUUUUGAAACAUUCAUUUAUUUUAUUAUGCUAGCAAUUAAACUUUAGUGGCUUAAAAUACAUCAAUUAAUUAACAUAUGAAUAAAGGUUUUUUCAUCUUUCCCUCAACAAUGCCACUAGGGCCUAAUUUUAAUGCCAUAAUCUCAUAUUUAAUUAUGCAACCUUUUAUUUAGUGCCUUUUAGCUUCUUCAAAUUUUAUUAUGCUAGCAAUUAAACUUUAGUAGCUUAAAAUACAUUAAUUAAUUAACAUAGGAAGAGAGAUUCUUUCAUCUUCCCUCAACAAUGCCACUAGGGCCUAAUUCUUCUUAUUCUAAAUUUAAGUUUCAUUUGCUUGUUAUCAUCAGCAACACAAGUCGAUUAUGAUGCAACUGCCAUUAUAAUUAAUGGAGAAUGACGAGUUAUCUUCUCUGGUGCAAUUCACUAUAUCCUCGUAGCAUUCCUCAAGUAAUGCAUGCAAAUAAUUUAUUUACAAUUUUUCAAAUCACUUGCACUUUCACAUUUUCUUCUUCUUUUAACCCCCCCCCCAAAUGCUACUUUGCUGCGAAAAUAUUAUAUUAAUUUUUUUUUUAUUCCGAACAAGCCAAACAUGACCCCACAUUUAAAACGGUGAGCUUUCAUGUUUAGGAAAAAUUAUGGACAAUAUUUUUGGAUCAAAUAGCAUUAUUAUUCUUUAAAUAUGCAAAUUUUGGUAUGAUUUAUUUCUAUAUGCAUUGUAUUUGUGCAGAUGUGGCCAGAUCUUCUACAAAAGGCAAAAGAUGGAGGGCUCAAUGCAAUUGAAACUUAUAUUUUUUGGAAUGCUCAUGAGCCUCAGCGUCGCCAGGUGUCAAUUAUUAUUAUUAUUAUUAUUAUUAUUAUUAUUAUUAUUAUUAUUAUUAUUAUUAGUAUGUGCGAUAUUUAUUAUUAUUGAAAUAAACAUACAAAAUUAACUUGUUUAAUCUUCCUUUUGAGAAGAGAUCAAUAUGAUUUCUCAGGAAAUUUGGAUUUCAUCAAAUUUUUAAUUUUUAAUUUGAUAUUUUCAAAGCAACGCGAGGCGCGGUUCUAUUUCCUAAUUUUAUAAUUUAUAUUGAUUGUCUAUUUGGUAAUACUAACGGUUUUUUACACUAAGCAAUAUUUUCAUGCCCAAGUCAUACUCAAUGCUAAAAAUAAAGUAAAUAAUUUUUUAUGCGCACAGAAAAAAAUAUAAAUUACCAGCGUGAGAUAGGAGUUCAUCAAUACUUAUAUCAUUAUCAUCAUCCAAACCUAUAUUUGCAUCAUCAAUUUAUCGAUCUAGAAAUGAGACUAGUACCUAUGUGUUUGAUUAAAAAAAAUCAUUAAAAAAUAUUACCUUUCAAGCAAUACAUAAUUUUGUUGUGUAUUAUAUACUAAAUUAAUGAUAUAUUCUAAAUAGAUGAAGUUCACUCCCAAGUGGUAUCAGAUAUCUACAUCUAAAAUGAUGUGUCUUAUAAUUUAAUGACAAAAAUAUACAUACACUCCAAGGUUUGGGGAAAUAACACGCGUGAACCUUACCAUACAAUAUAACCUUAUGACUGCAUUUUGUUAGAUAUUUUGUAAUUCAUUAAUUUUUGUUGUCUAUUAUAUACUAUAUUAAUGAUGAAUUCUAAAUAGAUGAAACUCAAUCCCUAGUAGUGUAUGAUAUGAUGAUAUCCAUGUGUCUUAUAACUUUACUGAAAUAAAUUUUGGGGAGUUUAAGUAUCUUUUUCUUUUAUAUUUAUGAGAAUUAAUAAUUCAAACUAGCUGUCAUUUUAGUUGUGUUUAAAAUUAAUUGUCUUAAGAAUUCGGAAAAUAUAUGGAAAAUUUUUCAAAAUGAUAAAAGGGAUAAUGUAGACCGACACGUUUAAACACGUGAACUCAUUAGUUGCCAAUUAUUUGAGACGCACAGCCAGGGGAUGCCGUGUGAUUAAACACGUGAAUAGAAAGCUUUUCCGGUCACUGGCUUUUCUGAGCCGACCAUAAAUUAAAGUAAAAUUGGAGUCAAGGUCUUGUAGACGAGGAAAAGAAGACGUGUGUACUGCGAGUUCACAUUUGAGGCUUGAUUGACAUAUUUGUCCCUCGUCAAGCUCGUCAAAGAAGCACCAAUAAAUUUCACUUUAGAAUAUAUAUAUUUUAUAUUUAUCCAAAGUAAAGGAUUUAAUUAAACAAAAUUCAGUCCCACGAAAGUUAAUAUACCGAAAAAAGUUAUACAAAAACCACUAUCAAAAUAUUGGAUAAUCUUGAGAAAUUUUAAAAUUUGUUCUUAAUUAACAAAGAAUUACGCCCAAUACCAUAUUUCGUCAAAUCUCAAAGGAAAUUUUCCCACUUUUCCAGUACAACAUUUUCUAUAAUUUACGGUAAUUAUGUAUUGGUAAUGCUAAUGGUUUUUUACACUAAACAAUAUUUUCAGACCCAAGUCAUACACAAUGCUAAAACCAAAGUAAAUAUUUUUUUUCAUUCGUACAGAAAAAAUAUAAAUUAUCAAGUUACUUAUAGCAUUUAUCAUCAUCCGAAGCUACAUUUGCAUCAUCAAUUGUCGAAUGUCGAUCCACAAAAGAGAAAUCAAAGAUGUUAAAAAUAUUUCUAACAAUAAAAUAAAUAAUUAAAUGUAAAGACUGGUACCUAGGUGUUUGAAUUUAAAAAAAAAAAAUCAUUAAAAAAUUAUCUUUCAAGUAAUAUAUAAUUUUAUUGUGUAUUAUAUACUACGUUAAUGAUGUAUUCUAAAUAGAUGAAGUUCACUCCCAAAUGGUGUUUGAUAUCUUUAUCUGAACGUGUCUUAUAUGUUUCAAAAGAAAAUUUUACCAAUACUCUUAAGGGUUGGGAGAAAUGAUAUGCAAGAACGUUACCUUGCAAUAUAACCUCGUGAUUGCAUUUUGCCGGAUACUAUAUAGUAAAUUAAUUUUGUUGUCUAUUACAAAAUAGAUGAAGCUUACUCUCGAGUAGAUGAAGCUUACUCUCAAGUAGUGUCCAAUACGGAGAUGUCCAUGUGUCUUACAAUUUUACUGAAACAAAUUUUGGGGAGUUCAAGUUUCUUUUUCCUUUAUAUUUAUAUAUAUGAGAAUUAAUAAUUCUAACCAUCUGUCAUUUUAGUGGUGUUUAAAAUUGAUGUAUCAACUAUCAAAAAAGAAAAAAGAAAAAAAUUGAUGUAUCAAAAAUAUGGAAAAUAGAUGGAAGAAUUUUCAAAUGAUACCCCGUCAAAGGGAUAAUGUAGAUUGACACGUUUAAACAUAUGAUCUCGUCAAUCGCCAAUUACUUGAAACCCACGGCCACGUUUAUUAGACAAUUUAAAAAAAAAAAAAGAUUUGUGUACUGCAGAUACUUGUGAAACUCAAAGGACUACCAAUUAAUUCACGUUAGAAAAGUGUUUUUUUGUUUAAUUAAAAGACAACGAUUUAAUCAGACAAAAUUCAGUCUGACGAAAUUUAUACAAACUACCAUGAGCAAAAUACAUUCAAGAUUAACAAUCACAUUAAUCUAGCAUCCUUUUUUUUUUUCUACGCCUUUCUCUUUUUCUUUUUUAACUUUUUAGGCCGCUUUUCUUUCUCCAAAUUACUUUUCUUGAUUUUCCACAGAACACAUCAAAACAUUGGACCACCUUGAGAGGUCAGAAAUAUUAAAUUUUUGGAGUCCACAAAAAAAAUAAAAUAUUUUUGUCAUAAUUUGUAGAUUUUGUUCUUUUAUCAUUUUCACAAAUUUAUUGAGAAGGCCAAAUAUUACCAUAUUUAAUCAAAAGUCAUAUAGAAUUUUUUUUUUAUAUUUUAUUAUGCAAAAAAGACGAUUGUUCUUAAAAGUUUAACCAAACAAAUUUUUAAUUAUUUUAUUUAACUGAUUAUCCAAGUUCGAAUUCUAGAUGACUCCGACCUUAAAAAUAACGUGUGCCAAUUAUCUAAGUUGAAUUAUUUUAUUUAACUGAUUAUCGGUGUACGUUUAAUAUUGUCGCUCUAAUUUGAUCCUAACGCGCGCUAAUGCAAAACGAUAUGCAAUGGAACUUUGUGAACUUACGGUAACAAUUUGUUUAAACUUAUGCAGACUACUUAACUAACCAGUCAAAUAGAGUGUCAAAUAACAUUUUAAUAUUUGGUUAAGAGACCACAAGAGUUCAUAAAUAUUUUUUUUUACCAAUUAAGAAGAUUAAAAUGAACGGCAUAUUUUGUACAGAAUUAAUAUGCGUAUUCAAAUUUAACAAUAUAGUGGGCUUUUUCAAAUUUCAAAUGUGUAGAUGGGGCUAAAUGCCUAAAUCACAACUUUCCUCAUCAUAACUCUGAAAAUUCAAAUUUGAAAAUAUUUUCUGACUCUCUUCUUCAUCAUUUAGUUUAUACUUCAACUGACCAUUAGAGGCAAUUCAGUUUCUGUACGAUCAUGCAAAAGGGUUAGAAAGUAAUUACAAUCAAUAUUUGUGUACUUCAGAAUUUGAACCUUAAUGAGCAAUUAACCAAGAGUUGUUAAUUUCUCUUCCUUUCCAAAAUUCUGUUAGAAUUGUCAAUUGUUACGGCAUAUGGGUGUAAAGAUUUUUUGAUAAUAAAAGUUAAAAUUAUUGGGUGGGUUUUUAUAAGAAUUUUGGAGGGGUGUAAGAAGGUCCACUCUACUCAUAAAUGAAGCCAUGGCUUGGAGAAAUGGAAAACGGAGCCCAUUAACCUUAAAGGCCUUAAACAAACCCAACAUGCUUUAAACUGAUAAUUAAGAUGUGAGACAAGCUCGCUCUAUCACUGAAGCAUGUUCGGUUUAUUAUACGUUGUAAACCCAUCAAUUUUUGAAGUUGUUUACUAUUGCAUUUAAUCUAAAACCUGUAUUUGGUUUAUUAUACGUUGUUUUCAAAGUCGUUGACAAUCGACGGGGCGAUACCGAAAUAGAUAGUCCUAGCCUCCUAGGCGCGCGCGCGCAAAAGAAAAAAAAAGGAUAAUGUAUUACAAGAUCACUGAUGCAUGGAAGAUCCUAGUUUUGUAGUGAGAGUAAAAGAAUUGAGCUUGAAACUAUUUUUUUGCUCAUUUUUUUAAUGAAACGCUUCAAAGAAAACAUAGAUGGCGGGAAGCAAAAUGGUUGAAGUUAGCAAGCUGUGCAGUGAGAACUGGAGGCACAUCACGAUUCACGCAUGAAUAGAAUUUGUGUGUAUGUGUGUGUGUGUGUGUGUUAGUGUUAAUAAGCCGAGGAUUGAUUCAGGCUGGCAAAAAUAUUAUUCAUAGUCAUUGUCAUUGUAGUGUAGUAUACCUUUAUUCUUAACUAGAUGUUAGUCCUUAUCUCCCCCAAGAUUCGACCACAAGUGGCUAGUUAUAGAAAGCUUCUUUUUUUUUUAAUUUAAAACCACCAGAGUGGUGGGGGGUUAGCCGGGACCCCUACCUGUAAUAUAAAUCUGAAAAUGAAUCAGAUACAAAGGAGGGAGACAUGAGAUACAAGAAAAGGAUAAAAUCCUAACGUCUGACAUAGGGGAUUGCAUGGGCAUCCAAGUAAAGAAUACCAGAUAAGCCUUUGAGAAGCUCCCGAGGAGAUUAAAAACGUCGGCUAGUCCGAUGAGUGCACGCCCAGUUGGCUAGAAAAUCAGCAGCAAAAGUAGCCUCGCAAAGAACAUCUCUCACCUAAAUGGGGAAUGACGUUACCAAACGACACACCCAGCGCAGAGAAUAACAAUACUCCCAUCGUAAAGGACCCUGGGUGUGAAUUCAUGACACCACUGUAGUCGAGUCUGACUCAACCUCAAGCACUGAAUACCCAAGCUGAAUGGCAAGCUCCAAACCGUUGCACACCGCCAUGAGCUCAACAUAUAAGAUUGGCUUGUAGCCCAAAAAGGAUCCAAAAGCCGCUAAAACCACACCCCGGUGAUCCCGAAGAGUACCCCCGGAAGCAGCCAUCUUAGGGUUGCCCCUAGAGCAACCAUCCACAAUCAGCUUAGCCACCCUUGGGGGCGGCCUCGUCCAAGUAACUAGACGAAUCGCCUCCUAGGGGGAGUCAUAACUCGCAAGCCCUCCGCAAUACGAGAACCCAAAACUCCCCUCAGUUGAAGAGGCUUGAAUCCAAAAGCAGAACUAGCGAGCCUGAGAUCAGAGUCGACCUGAUAGAUAAUCGCAUCAGUGGAGAAAGACUAUGAAUUAAACCGGAAAGCAUUUCGGGCCUUCCAAAUUUGCCACAAAAAGCAUGGCAAAAGGACCCGAAGAUGAUUCCGAGAGGGUGCACAAUAGGGAUGGCAAAAAUCCCCACGGGGACGGGUACCCUCGGGGAUUUUCCCCAUUCGGGGAGGGUACGGGGAUAAUUUUAUACCCAAUUUUUUAUUCGGGGAGGGGACGGGGAAAAUUUUUUACCCAAUUUUUUAUUCGGGGAGGGGACGGGGAAAAUUUUUUACCCAAUUUUUUAUUCGGGGAGGGGACGGGGAAAAUUUUUUACCCAAUUUUUUAUUCGGGGAGGGGACGGGGAAAAUUUUUUACCCAAUUUUUUAUUCGGGGAGGGGACGGGGAAAAUUUUUUACCCAAUUUUUUAUUCGGGGAGGGGACGGGGAAAAUUUUUUACCCAAUUUUUUAUUCGGGGAGGGGACGGGGAAAAUUUUUUACCCAAUUUUUUAUUCGGGGAGGGGACGGGGAAAAUUUUUUACCCAAUUUUUUAUUCGGGGAGGGGACGGGGAAAAUUUUUUACCCAAUUUUUUAUUCGGGGAGGGGACGGGGAAAAUUUUUUACCCAAUUUUUUAUUCGGGGAGGGGACGGGGAAAAUUUUUUACCCAAUUUUUUAUUCGGGGAGGGGACGGGGAUGAGGUGGAAUCCCCAUCCCCUACCCAUUUCCCCAUUUUAAUUUUUAAUUUUAUUUUUAUUUUUAAAAUUACUAAUAAAUAAAUAACAAAAUUAUAAAUAUUGUUAAAAAUAAUAAAUAUUAAAAUAGUUAUAUUAUUAAACUUUUAAACUUAAUUAACUAAUUAAAGUCUUAAAUUUUUAAUCCAAACCACAAUGAUACAGGAGAGAGCUGCCUAAUUAUAAUUUACAACAGUUCUAAUCCUAAUUCGUAUCCUACAUUAGCUCGAAUUGCUAGAGAUAUUUUGGCAAUUCCAAUUACAACAGUUGCUUCUGAAUCAGCUUUUAGCACCGGUGGUAGAGUUGUGAGCUCACACCGUAACAAACUUCAUCCAAGCACAUUGGAGGCCUUAAUAUGCUGUCAAAGUUGGUUACGAGCUUACAAUAGCAGUAUGAGUUUAUUUUACAUUGUAAUUAUAUUAUACAGUUAUUAAUAUUUGCGCUUAUAAGUUACGUUACUUAUAUCAUUUUCAUUGUUUUAGGUUUGAAAUCUGAGGUUAGCUCUCAAUUUGCCACAUUUCUCGAGGAAGAACUGGAGGAGCAGGAGGUAAAUAGUUUUAUUAAAAAUAUUAAUUAAGUAUCUACAUUUAUUUUAUUGUCGAUAUAAAAAUAAUUUUUUUUCUUUUUAUUGUAGGAUUAUGAAGAUUGAGUCAUUGACAAAGAUAAUUAUUUUAAUAAUUUAUAUUUUUGAAUGUGACUUUGAAAUGGAUCAAUAUUAAUGCAAGAUAUAUUUUGAACUUUAUUUUUAUCUGAAUUUUUUAUUUUAAUAUGAUUAAUUUAAAAUCGAAAAAAAAAAUGUAUUAGACUAUUAAUUAUUCGGGGACCGGAGACCCUCGGGGAUCUCCUGUUAGUAUUCGGGGAGGGGAUGGGGAUUCACUUAAGUAAUUCUGACGGGGACGGGGAGGGGACGGGGACAUAACAAAAUAUCGGGGAUGGGUAUGGGGAGAUUGGUCCCCUCCCCUCCCCUCCCCAUUGCCAUCCCUAGUGCACAAUGUCUCCAAAAUAAAAGUAAAGCACGGGGAGAUAGAAAACCAAGCUCUCACAUCCCCAGGAUUCGCUGGUAGUGAACCUAAAUAUGAUUGGCCCGUGGACAAUUCACAAACAGGUGCCGAGAAGUCUCAACAACCCACCCACAAACGCACUAAGAAACUAUAAAGAAACCCCUCGAGCAUAAGGCAUCAUUAGUAGAUAAGAAUCUGUGUAGUAGUUACUAGAGAAAAAAAGAAACUCGUGAUGGGAUAUGCCUCUGCCAAAUCAUCGAGAAAAGUUCAUCCAUCGGCCUAGAGCACCGUACAAGCUCUCAAGCAGUCCGCAAGUGAAACAUGCCGUCAGGGGUAAGGUCCUAACGAAUCAGGUCAGGAUUCCCACUCGAAAUAAACACUAAUAGGAUCUGCUCAAUAAUAGAUGAAGGCAAAAUGUCCUCCAAUUUGCCUCUGUCCCCGACUGUACCCUGCCAAAAGAACGAGACCGGCACUGACGAAGCCGCUGUAGGGUUAUAAAAAAAUAGAGGGCAAGAACUCAGCCAACAAUCAUACCAGAAGCUAUAAUCUCCACUCCUAAUGAGCCAAUGCCCAUGAGGUCUAGUCGUGCAACGAAUCUUACAAAGGCGUCUCUAUAGAGGAGAGGCAGGAUAGAGAAACUGGAUCAGGCUCGGAUGCGUAGAUCUGCAAUACUUGGACUUCAUAUAGGAAGCGCAUAACGAACUCUGCUAACAAAACUGUCACCAAAGUUUAAUCUCAAAAGCCUCCUCCAUAUCAUCAAAAGAUCGUAUGCCAAGGCUACCCUCGUCAACUGGAUAACAAACCUUCGGCCAUCUACACCAGUAGAUCUGGCGCCUUCCCUCAGAAUCACCCCAUAGGAAUUAGGUGAACAAUCGCUCUAGGCACUGAACUACCAUUACAAGAGGACGAAGGACGUGAAAUAAGUGCAGGGGCAUAGAGGAUAACACAUGGCGAAUGAGGACCAGCUUCCCACCAAAAGAAAGCAGACGGUUAUCCCAACCGAAAAUCUUAUCCCUGACCUUACGGGCUGUGUCAUCAAAAUAUGAGAUCUUUAGGUGCCCGAGAUAAGUAAACAGAAGCCGACGCUGCUGAAAACUAGUAACAGAGUGAACAAGGGCCUGGCGAGAGGCCGAAGCCGACUUCCUAAUGUAGGAGUUACUCUUGUCCUGGUUAAUCAACUGCCCCGAGAUCACCUCAUAAUGGUGCAAGAAAUCCAUAAGCUGUUAUAAGCUAGGUUGGCUCCCAUUUGCAAAAAUAAUAAUAUAAUCUGCAAAGCUCAAAUGGGAAUUAGAAGUAGGUGCGGUUGAACAAUACCGAACUGAGGGAUAUGGAGAAUACAAAUGAUCCAAUUCUCGAGAGAAAAAUUCUGCAGCAAUAAUAAACAAGCACGAGGAAAGAGGAUCACCUUGCCGAAGACCCCUCUGGGACUGGAAGUAUCCUUGACUGACCCUAUUCAAAAGUACUGAAAACCAAGGGCCGUAAAUCACUCGCCGAAUCAAAGAAAUCCAAUGCUCCGAGAACCUAAAACAGCGAAUCAUCUUAAGAAUAAAAGGCCAUGACAUAUGAUCGUACACCUUGGCCAUAUCUAAUUUCAGCACCACAGUGUUCCCUCGAGUACGGCGAUUAAGAUCCUGAACGAGCUCCUAAACCAGGAGCACGUUAUCAUGAAUCACUCAACCAGGAACAAAGCCAUUCUGAGUAGGAGAAAUAAUGCGAGGUAGGAGAGGGGACAAUCUCUAGACAAGCAACCUGGUAAGGACCUUGUUGUUCACGUUACAAAGACUAAUCGGACGGAAAUCAGCCCAAGAAUCCGGAGAAGCCUUCUUAGGCAAAAGGACCAAUAAAGUACUUUGGAAACCCCUGGACAUAGCCGAACCUCUGAAAUAAUCGAGGACAACAUCUAACAAGUCACGGCAAAUGAUGUCCCAACACGCCUGAUAGAAUCUGCUAAUUAUAUAAGUUAUUUAAAAAUCAUUCGGACAAACUUCUAGUGACAAUUGAACAUAAAUUUAACUUUAAUAUCUUAUUAAAAAAGUUCGAUACCACUUUAAUAGAAUGGAGAACGUUUAUUUUCCCCUAGGGAAAAUGCACAACAAGUUCUUUUACAUAGACUCCGUAACCAAAUUAGACAAGUAAAUAAUCAAUGACGGAAUUAAGAGCUUGGUUUAACAAGGUCAGCAUGAAGAAACUACAAAUUUGAGGUUAAAAAUUUAGAAAUGGAGGCCAAAACAUAAGAUUUUCAAAGAAUGACUAGAUUUCAAUUAGAUCCCAGGGAACAUUAACCCAAUUUACUGCUUGUCGUAGAACUCUUUGUUUACAUGAAUUAAUGUUUAAUAGCCUUUAGUAUCUCAAGCUUGACCCUUGCAGCUAUCUAUUAGUUCAUUUAAUUAAUAACUUGUACGUAUUAACACCUACUGAAGUAGAAAAUGCCCGCGACUAGUGCAUUAGUUUCUUUAAAAUCCGGAGACAAAGAGUUGUUCUGAUUAUUUUAUAAUUUUUUUUUUCACAUGAGACACCAUUCAAGACAAUGUCCAUGUGGUGUGAAGGCCAAAAUGCCCGUGAACCAGUCAAUUUUUGUCUUUUUCAGCAUUUUAAUAUAAUCACUUUGUAUUUAAAUUACUAUUUGAUCGAUUAAAAUUUCAAUAAUUUUACAGCUAACCACGUAUUUUUUAACCAUAAUUCCCAGCUUCCCUUAUAUAUAUAUAAGUCGGCAUCAGCUGAUCAGCAUGAAUUAAGAGUUCAUAACCAAACUGAAAUAGAUAUCCAAAGUUUAGCGUUACUGAGAAAUAUGAGUUCUAGGAUUUAUUUUAUGCUCAUCGCGAUAUUUACUGUCGCUGGAGUUUUGCAAUUUUCCGGCCAAGUUUUUGGCACACAACAUUGUGGAAUGAAUACAAAUGUUCUUGGCCAGCUUGUAUCACAAUGUGAGAAAUAUGUGUUGAAAUCGGGGCCGAAGAUUCGGCCAUCUCCUGGUUGUUGUGCGGUUGUGAAGAAGUUGAUGUGCCAUGUGUGUGCACGUUUGUUACAAAGCAGAUUGAAGAAAUUGUAAGUAUUGAGAAGAUGGUUUAUGUGGCCAGGUCAUGUGGCAUAAAGAUUUCUGCCGGGACAAAAUGUGGAAGUAAGUAAAUAACAUUCCUCGUGCAAUUACCAAUAAAUUCUAUUAAGAAUGAUAAUGCACUUCUCAAAUAGUAUCUCGACUUUAUUUCUCAUAAGUGAUGCGACAUUUAUCUGUAAAAUAAUAAUAUGAACUAAUAAGUAAUUUUAUAGGUUCAUGAAACUGGCAUUCAAUUGAUGAUCAUAUAUCAUCUCAGUAUGUUCAUAUUCUCAAAGUUCUUCACAUCUUUUUAUUUCAAAUUGAAAGAUAAUAAACGCACUCUAGUUAUCUUUCAAUUAAUGAAUGAAACAUUAAUUCUUGUUGAUGCGAGAUUUUGGUUACGCUCUUCCUACUACCAGGAUAUCUGCUCGAUCAACCUCACCUCAACCAGGAUCUCUCCUAGUAUGCUUUCGUCUCCAAGUAUUCCUGCGUCCACAGAAACAAGUCAGAGCACGCCGGUUAUUUUUCCGGCGUAAACCCUCCGACGCUCAAGUCAGAUGUGAAGGUUCGGGGUACGCUUGGCACAGAUCUUAUGGCUUUUGGGUAGUUUUCUCUUCUUUAGAAUUUCUUUAAUCUCUGUCAUAAUUUCAAAAUUGCUAACCUUUUUACCUUCGUUGGCAACUUUUUUAUAGGCUUCCUCUGAAUCCCAGUUUUCCGCGGUCUACGCCCGUUAUCCUCCCACCUCUCGAACGUGGACUCCCCAUUUCCGUAGUCGUGGGUGGUUGCGUGGCCUUCGUGCCUAGAUUCUCGGGCUGGAGAGCAUGCCUCGCCAACUGUCGUUGACCGGGUCUCCUCGAAUCAACCCUUAGCAAGAAUACAGUAGGAAUGGCUUUAUGCUUCUUACAGGAAAUUGGCCUCGCGGAUGACGUGCUCGUGGAUGAGCAGGAUAUUCCUGCCCCUGUUCCCCUGCUACCUGGCUCUUACAGGACACACCUGCUCGCAGACUUCUGCCACCAAACAUCUGCUCAUCACGUCUGGUCUCGUCAGAGUAUUUCCCUCAAACACCGGUCCCCCAGUUUCUGGUGUUGGGUAAUGUAAUGGACCAGCAGUAGAAACUUAGCGGUUCUUGGUUGCAUGGGACUGGAAAAGGCUGCCAAGAGUCGUGUCGCAUUUAAUUGCGGAUGAGGUGAUGUGGCAGAGAUUCACCCCUCCAUUUUGAAUUUAAAACCGACGGUUACGAGACCCUCGGGAUUCGGUGCUGUUAAAUGCUGGCUAUCCAAGGGUUUUUCUUCCAAUAAGGUAACCCAAAACCUCUCGAAGGGAAAUUAGCCAUUUCCACCGUCUCUGUCCCUGUCUCUCCGGCGAAGAAGUUUCGGCAUAAAAGCCCCCAUCCUUGCCUUUCUCCGACUGAAACAGUACUUCAGGUAUUACUUCUUUCUCCUCGGUCUCGGAUAGUUUGUAGAUAACUUCUUUUUUCUUUGUUUUGCUUGGGGUAGUAGUUGGUGGUGGUGUUUUGGUUAUUACCUAUGGAAUGUCGAAGGGUAAGGAGAAAGUCGUUGAGAUUGAUGACGACGAACUAGGUUUCUUGCCUGGUCUGCUCACUGAUCCUGCUUUUGACCUCGAGAUCCCCUUAGAACCUAUUAGGUUUAGUGUCGGGACUAGUGCUAGGAGGAUGUCCCCCCAAACAACCUCCACGAGCGAAAGCAAUGGUGAGGAGGGACCUUCUGGCUCUGAGGACACCUUAAAUGAGAAUGGGGAAGGUGACUCUGGUGAGGUGUCUCCAUCUGGAACAUCACGACCAGAAGAACGGGGUACAGUAGGAGGCAGAGCCUUGUCGCGUGAUUAUGCCAUUGAUUACAUGACGUGCACGACCUCGUUUGACGAGCUCAAUGACCUCCGGCUUAGGUAUAGCAUUCCUGGUGAGAUACCUCUCAAGGUCCCAGGAAAGAAGGAUGCUCCCAGCCGGCCUCCUAGGGGAUACGUUACCCUGUUUCUAGAGAGCUUUAAGUACGGGCUGAGGUGUCCCUUGCAACCCUACUUUGCCCGGAUACUUAACGGGCUAAAUCUAGCUCCUGGUCAGCUGAAUCCCAAUUGGUGGAGAGUGCUCUCUGGUCUGUUCAUAUUGUGGGACAGAUGUUGCCAAAGCGAGCCCACGGUUGAUGAGGUGAAGCACCUGUACCAGCUAAAGAGCAGCCCCAAAGAUGCCGGCUGGUACUACUUCCAAUCUAGCACCAAGAGCCGGAAACCCAUAACUGAUCUUCCAACUGGUGGUGGUGGGACUUGGAAGAGGAAAUUCUUUUUUGCUGGGGGUCCUUGGGGUCAAGUUGCACAAAUAGACGGGAAGGAUUGUCGCAUCCCACCCCGUUUCACGGUCCCAGGUUGCCUGCUCGCUUUAGAUGUCUUGUAUCCAUAAUUGUUCUUGCUUUAUUGGCUUGUCUCUAACUAAGUGUCUGUUUGUGUUGUAGUUUCUUGGGGUGUUCACUUCCCGCUCUAACCUGACCAGCUCAAACGGGUCAAGGCUGUACUAGCCAAUUUCUGCUCGAGCCGAGAACUGCUAACUACUUACAACUUGCUCGAGUCUCGCUUGGUACUUCCUGGCCAUAAGAUGGAGGACGCCGUGAUUGGGGCUCUGAACAGGAAACGUUCUUGACCUCAAACCACGAAGAGGGACCAGAACAAUGAUGCCCCUACUGCAAAGCGGGCCAACAUCGUGCAGCAGGUCUCUCCCUUGAAGACUUUACCUCCUCCUUCUGCCAAACUCGGCGAGACCAGUGGAGCAGCCACUGAUCCUGCUUCCUCUUCGCCUCCUGUCGGGCAUAGAUCUCGUUUACCUGAAACUGAUCCUGCUUCCUCUUCGCCUCCUAUCGGGCAUAGAUCUCGUUUACCUGAUAGCCGAGCAGAACACUUGGACCCCUAUCUCAACGAGCUUUCCAAACUCGUGAGCAAGAAGGACCUCGAGGACUUUGAUGGCUGCACCUUGGGCGAGCUGGUGGGGGCCAUGCAGUAUAGCGCUUUCCAUCUCAGCUGCAUGACCACCUACUAUAAGGCCAAGGUUGGCCGUUAUGACAGGAAGAUGAAGGAGGACAUUCAGUCGGCGACGACCAGAGCUGACGUUGCUGAGAAGAAAGCAGGGGACUUAAACCUCGAGAAUCUGAAGUUGAUUGAGCGAGAAUCUCUUGCUCAAGCCAAGGCUAUUACUCUCGAGGAAGAGCUGGCCAAGGUCAAGGAAGAUCUACAAAAGCAGAAAGCUAUGUACGAGGCUCAGCUCGAAUCUCUCCGUGAUUCCCACCGGGUUCAGGUCGAGAACUUAGAGAAGGAGGCUGACAACCAGUACGACCAGGGACUUCGGCAUUCAUGCCUUAGGAAUUUUUAUAACACUUGAGGGUCUGCUCGCCUUCGCUUGGUCGAGCAGAUCCUGGCACGCUUGGCUUCUGGUCUCGCCAUAAACAGGCUUUGAGACUUGGUGAGCCUUUGCAUGCCUUAGGAAUUUUUAUAACACUUGAGGGUCUGCUCGCCUUCGCUUGGUCGAGCGGAUCCUGGCACGCUUGGCUUCUGGUCUCGCCAUAAAACAGGUUUUGAGACUUGUGAGCCUUUGCAUGCCUUAGGAAUUUUUAUAACACUUGAGGGUCUGCUCGCCUUCGCUUGGUCGAGCAGAUCCUGGCACGCUUGGCUUCUGGUCUCGCCAUAAAACAGGUUUUGAGACUUGUGAGCCUUUGCAUGCCUUAGGAAUUUUUAUAACACUUGAGGGUCUGCUCGCCUUCGCUUGGUCGAGCAGAUCCUGGCACGCUUGGCUUCUGGUCUCGCCAUAAAACAGGUUUUGAGACUUGUGAGCCUUUGCAUGCCUUAGGAAUUUUUAUAACACUUGAGGGUCUGCUCGCCUUCGCUUGGUCGAGCAGAUCCUGGCACGCUUGGCUUCUGGUCUCGCCAUAAAACAGGUUUUGAGACUUGUGAGCCUUUGCAUGCCUUAGGAAUUUUUAUAACACUUGAGGGUCUGCUCGCCUUCGCUUGGUCGAGCAGAUCCUGGCACGCUUGGCUUCUGGUCUCGCCAUAAACAGGCUUUGAGACUUGGUGAGCCUUUGCAUGCCUUAGGAAUUUUUAUAACACUUGAGGGUCUGCUCGCCUUCGCUUGGUCGAGCGGAUCCUGGCACGCUUGGCUUCUGGUCUCGCCAUAAAACAGGUUUUGAGACUUGUGAGCCUUUGCAUGCCUUAGGAAUUUUUAUAACACUUGAGGGUCUGCUCGCCUUCGCUUGGUCGAGCAGAUCCUGGCACGCUUGGCUUCUGGUCUCGCCAUAAAACAGGUUUUGAGACUUGUGAGCCUUUGCAUGCCUUAGGAAUUUUUAUAACACUUGAGGGUCUGCUCGCCUUCGCUUGGUCGAGCAGAUCCUGGCACGCUUGGCUUCUGGUCUCGCCAUAAAACAGGUUUUGAGACUUGUGAGCCUUUGCAUGCCUUAGGAAUUUUUAUAACACUUGAGGGUCUGCUCGCCUUCGCUUGGUCGAGCAGAUCCUGGCACGCUUGGCUUCUGGUCUCGCCAUAAAACAGGUUUUGAGACUUGUGAGCCUUUGCAUGCCUUAGGAAUUUUUAUAACACUUGAGGGUCUGCUCGCCUUCGCUUGGUCGAGCGGAUCCUGGCACGCUUGGCUUCUGUCUCGCCAUAAAACAGGCUUUGAGACUUGGUGAGCCUUUGCAUGCCUUAGGAAUUUUUAUAACACUUGAGGGUCUGCUCGCCUUCGCUUGGUCGAGCAGAUCCUGGCACGCUUGGCUUCUGGUCUCGCCAUAAAACAGGUUUUGAGACUUGUGAGCCUUUGCAUGCCUUAGGAAUUUUUAUAACACUUGAGGGUCUGCUCGCCUUCGCUUGGUCGAGCAGAUCCUGGCACGCUUGGCUUCUGGUCUCGCCAUAAAACAGGUUUUGAGACUUGUGAGCCUUUGCAUGCCUUAGGAAUUUUUAUAACACUUGAGGGUCUGCUCGCCUUCGCUUGGUCGAGCAGAUCCUGGCACGCUUGGCUUCUGGUCUCGCCAUAAAACAGGUUUUGAGACUUGUGAGCCUUUGCAUGCCUUAGGAAUUUUUAUAACACUUGAGGGUCUGCUCGCCUUCGCUUGGUCGAGCAGAUCCUGGCACGCUUGGCUUCUGGUCUCGCCAUAAAACAGCUUUGAGACUUGGUGAGCCUUUGCAUGCCUUAGGAAUUUUUAUAACAAUUGAGGGUCUGCUCGCCUUCGCUUGGUCGAGCAGAUCCUGGCACGCUUGGCUUCUGGUCUCGCCAAAAAACAGGCUUUGAGACUUGGUGAGCCUUUGCAUGCCUUAGGAAUUUUUAUAACAAUUGAGGGUCUGCUCGCCUUCGCUUGGUCGAGCAGAUCCUGGCACGCUUGGCUUCUGGUCUCGCCAAAAAACAGGCUUUGAGACUUGGUGAGCCUUUGCAUGCCUUAGGAAUUUUUAUAACAAUUGAGGGUCUGCUCGCCUUCGCUUGGUCGAGCAGAUCCUGGCACGCUUGGCUUCUGGUCUCGCCAAAAAACAGGCUUUGAGACUUGGUGAGCCUUUGCAUGCCUUAAGAAUUUUUUCGAAUGCUUUGGAGUCUGCUCGCCUUCUCGUGGUCAAGCAGAUCCUGGCACGCUUGGCUUCUGUCUCGCCAUAAAACAGGCUUUGAGACUUGGUGAGCCUUUGCAUGCCUUAGGAAAUUUUUCACAGUUUCAAGCGAAUGAAAUUCCUCGACGUUUCAUUGAUGGCAGGAUUCAACUUACAUGAAAUUGUUUGGACAUAAAACAUAAAAGAUAAACGAUAAUGAACACGAGCAGAAAUAGCUUUCAAAUGUGAACAAGUCUUACUGGAAGUAUUUUGAGCACCUUUCUUUAUUACCAGCUUAUGACAUGCUACCUCAGGGUCAAUCCCUGGCAUGUCUGGAGGUGUCCAAGCAAACACAUCUGCAUGAGCCUGUAAGCAUUUCAUCGCAGGAAUGUUGAUGAAGGCCACCAUAUGCCGAAUCAUGCCUUCUCCAAGGCUCUCUAGCUGGGGAACGAGGAGGUUGCGCCCUGCUGCGCUGAUACUGUAGUGGCCUCUGAUGAGGCUGGUAAGCAGUUACCCGACCUCCUGCUCCACUACCCGAGGCCUGGUGGUCCCCUUGGUAAGGACCUUCCUCAUCCACUACCACAAAGUCCAGUAUCAUUGUCAUUUCUGUCGGGGAGCCCCCAAUCGUGAUAGGCAGCUCGACCACGCCCAGAGGGACCAGCUUUCCUCCUCCAAACCCCUUCAAGGAGGUAUUGGUGUAAUCCAACUUCAGGUCUGCUAUUCUCAUCUCGUCCAGGGUUGACUUAAACAACACAUCAAUUGAACUCCCUGUGUCAACCAGUAUCCUGUCAAACUUCUUGCUAGCAACAGUGGCCUUGAUGACCAAAGCAUCCUCGUGGGGGUAUAGAAUCCCUUCCUCAUCCUCAUCUGUCCACAUGAUUGGCACUUGCCUGACUCUUGCACGUUUGGCUGCUGGGGUGUUGAAGAAUACCUCUUUGCUGGUCAUGGCGUAUCUAGCGUAAUUCUUCCUCGACCUGUUGGAAUCUCCGGCCAAUAUUGGGCCCCCAGCUAUCACCCUUAUUGCAGGCUGCUCGCGCCUCAAGUUCCUGUCACUCUGCUCCCCUUCGCUGGUCGAUCAGGUGCACUGUCCUUUCUCUAUUUGCUCCGUUCUGAGUUGGGGGCGGUGGCAGCGCUUCUGGUCUGCCCCCUCUACUACCGUGGGAGUGUUGAUGAAGACCACCAUACGUCGAGUCAUGCCUUCUCCAAGGCUCCCCAGCUGGGGAACGAGGAGGUUGCGCCCUGCUGUGCUGAUACUGUGGUGGCCUCUGAUGAGGCUGGUAAGCAGUUACCCGACCUCCUGCUCCAUUACCCGAGGCCUGGUGGUCCCUCCUCCUGAUCGGCCGAUUCCCCGGUAAUGCUUUCUUUUCUUUCCUCCCCCACUCUUCUAACUGGUCUGUCUUAAUCCGUGCUGCCUUCUCAUCUUCAAUCUCAAUGUCUCUUUUAGCCUACUCUUCGAUCUUUUAUGGCCUCGUACACCUCAUCCAAGGACAUCUUCAAGGAGGUAUACCGCCCAUAGUCCUGGUUCUGGUCGAUCAGGUGCACUGCUCUUUCUCUGUUUGCUCCGUUCUGAGUUGGGGGCGGUGGCAGUACUUCUGGUCUGCUCCCUCUGCUACCAUGGGAAUGUUGAUGAAGACCACCAUAUGCCGAAUCAUGCCUUCUCCAAGGCUCCCUAGCUGGGGAAUGAGGAGGUUGCGCCCUGCUGCGCUGAUACUGUGGUGGCCUCUGAUGAGGCUGGUAAGCAGUUACCCGACCUCCUGCUCCACUACCCGAGGNNNNNNNNNNNNNNNNNNNNNNNNNNNNNNNNNNNNNNNNNNNNNNNNNNNNNNNNNNNNNNNNNNNNNNNNNNNNNNNNNNNNNNNNNNNNNNNNNNNNNNNNNNNNNNNNNNNNNNNNNNNNNNNNNNNNNNNNNNNNNNNNNNNNNNNNNNNNNNNNNNNNNNNNNNNNNNNNNNNNNNNNNNNNNNNNNNNNNNNNNNNNNNNNNNNNNNNNNNNNNNNNNNNNNNNNNNNNNNNNNNNNNNNNNNNNNNNNNNNNNNNNNNNNNNNNNNNNNNNNNNNNNNNNNNNNNNNNNNNNNNNNNNNNNNNNNNNNNNNNNNNNNNNNNNNNNNNNNNNNNNNNNNNNNNNNNNNNNNNNNNNNNNNNNNNNNNNNNNNNNNNNNNNNNNNNNNNNNNNNNNNNNNNNNNNNNNNNNNNNNNNNNNNNNNNNNNNNNNNNNNNNNNNNNNNNNNNNNNNNNNNNNNNNNNNNNNNNNNNNNNNNNNNNNNNNNNNNNNNNNNNNNNNNNNNNNNNNNNNNNNNNNNNNNNNNNNNNNNNNNNNNNNNNNNNNNNNNNNNNNNNNNNNNNNNNNNNNNNNNNNNNNNNNNNNNNNNNNNNNNNNNNNNNNNNNNNNNNNNNNNNNNNNNNNNNNNNNNNNNNNNNNNNNNNNNNNNNNNNNNNNNNNNNNNNNNNNNNNNNNNNNNNNNNNNNNNNNNNNNNNNNNNNNNNNNNNNNNNNNNNNNNCGGUACAGCAGAAAUUUAAUAAUAAUUCGACCAACAAAUUAAUAUUAAUAAAUUAAUAUUAAUGAAUUAUAAUAAAAAUUUAUUAAAUAUUGAUUUUGUUUCCAAUUUGAAUAAGGAUAAUUUUGGGUUUAGGUAAUAAUUUUAAGGACAUUUAUGUAAUUGUAUUAAAUGAUAAAAUUGAUUCUUAAAAUCAGAAUUUAAAAGCUACUCAUUCUCUACUUUUCAAAAUCAGCUGUAAGAAUGGUUGAUUUUGACAAAAGUGAUUUUGAUUUUUUUUCGAAACAAUAAAAUUAGCUUUUACAUUUUUAAAAUCACUUUUAAACCUCCUAAAAACAAUUUCAAACGAGCCCUUACUAUAAUUGUCUGCUGUACGGCCAAGGCGGAUGUACGGUACAGCAGUUUAUUUUUCUUUUCUUUUCUUUUAAUCAAGAGAUGUAUUUGCAUAAAUUGUUUGAUCAUUAAUGUCAUUUUAUUAAAAUUCUCUCACAAUACCUAAUAGGUACGUAAGAAGGAAAAGUAACUCUGAGUGGUAACAAUUAUUUUCACAAUAUUCUUAUUAUUCUUUAUAGGUUAAACACUAAUUCAAUUUGCUCUCCAUUUAUAUAUAUAUGAGUGGUGUUAGAACCUUUCAUUGUUUUAUUUUCAGUACAAAAUUUUUUGUCAAUUCUACUAAAUGACACUUAUAAUGUUAUUGCCCCAAAAUAAAUUAGCAAAAUAUCCAGACAAAAGAUUAAUCAAAUUUUAAACGGCAAGAAAAACAACCAAAAAUGAUCAACUUAUCAAAAUCUUCACUGCUGUACCGUACAUCCGCCUUGGCCGUACAGCAGACUCUCGUGCACAUCCCUCAAGAGAUAGUGGGAACACCCUGCACCUUUGGGAUUGAGAUAAUCCUUGUACCCCCAUUAUGUCGUUGAAGCGCUCUAUGUGCACCAGCGGAUCAGUUCUUCCCGAGUAUCUAAGGUUUGGGAGGUGGAAAUCUCUCGGAAUAGUUGCCCUCAUGAUCUCUGCUGCGAGCGGUGAUUCUCCGUCCAGCAUUAUCCUCCAACCAGGAGCUCUGCUCCUUCCUUGCAUGUCGUCAAUUAUCUGCGCUAAUCUGCGCACUUCCUCCUCAAGUUGCACUGCACGACCAGGGUCACAUGCUGCAACUUGAUCCCUCUCUUGCUCCACAUCAUGCAAGUGUUGCCUCAACUCUGUUUCCUCUGCAUUCGCUACCCCGUCGUCCUCGUCAAAAAUCUGUCUUACUGGGGACUGCUCUUCCUCUCUAUGAAAGUCUCCCCGCAGAGGUAUGUUACCUCUAUCACCACCAAAUCUCCCGGUGGUUAGACUUCUUCUCGCACUAUCGGGACCUGGUGCCACUCCGCCACCUCUCACUCUUUCCUCCUGGGUUACGCUUCGGUCGCUCCUCAGCUCAUGCAGGAUGGUUGUCAAGGUCUCCAUCUGCUUUUCCAUCCGUUCCAUCCGGUCGAACAUGGCUUUUUCCCGUGCUUCACUGGCAGGAUAUCUACUCGAUCAACCUCACCUCGACCAGGAUCUCUUCUAGUAUGCUUUCAUCUCCAAGUAUUCCUGCGUCCACAGAAACAAGUCAGAGCACGCCGGUUGUUUUCCCGGCGUAAACCCUCCGACGCUCAAGUCAGAUAUGAAGGUUCGGGGUACGCUUGCCACAGAUCUUAUGGCUUUUGGGUAGUUUUCUCUUCUUUAGAAUUUCUUUAAUCUCUGUUCUAAUUUCAAAAUUGCUAACCCUUUUACCUUCGUUGGCAACCUUUUUAUAGGCUUCCUCUGAAUCCCAGUUUUCCGCGGUCUACGCCCGUUAUCCUCCCACCUCUCGAACGUGGAUUCCCCAUUUCCGUAGUCGUGGGUGGUUGCGUGGCCUUCGUGCCUAGAUUCUCGGGCUGGAGAGCAUGCCUCGCCAACUGUCGUUGACCGGGUCUCCUCGAAUCAACCCUUAGCAAGAAUACAACAGGAAUGACUUUAUGCUUCUUACAGGAAAUUGGCCUCGCGGAUGACGUGCUCGUGGAUGAGCAGGAUAUUCCUGCCCCUGUUCCCCUGCUACCUGGCUCUUACAGGACACACCUGCUCGCAGACUUCUGCCACCAAACAUCUGCUCAUCACGUCUGGUCUCGUCGGAGUAUUUCCCUCAAACAAUUCUCAUUGGAUAAUCAACAUAUACUUGUUUUAGAGUCCUCAGGUGGACGACUUUUGAGGUAAAUAAAUCCAGGAUUCCUGAAACUGAACAUUCGUGUUUGAAACUUUCAAUAUCCAAAUUCAGUCAUGCAAUACAACUACACUAUUUUAAAUCAAUUAUAUGGUUUCAGUUUCAGAUUUUGUAUUUCCAGCAUAAAUAAUCAUGCAAGCUUUUGAUUCCCAAAAGACCAUUGUUCGAUUUUUUCUUACCCUUCUACCCCCUCCCCCCGCAUUUUCAAAUCGUCCAUAACUUUUCUGCAAUGUUCAGCCUGUGGAAAGGUAAUUUUAUCAGUGCAAGUGCUUGCAUUGUUCAUUUCUUCAGAUAGCCAUUUGCUGCGUCUAAAAAUUCAUGCUGUGUUCACUGAUGAAGGCAACUAGGAGUCAACGUCUAUUUAGAUCAGGAAAAUGACUUGUGUGGUGUGAAUUUACACAUGAAAUUCAAUUGGCAUAUUUGUCACUUGUCAGGCUCAAUGGACCCCUUUCAAAUUUCACUUUAGAAUAUUUAUUUAUUUUUUAUCUAAAGAUAAGGAUUUAAUUACACAAAAUUCAGCCUCACGAAAGUCAUACAAAAUGCGAUCAGUGAAAUACAUUCAGGAUUAACAAUCGCUUUGAUCAAUCAAAUACAUCCCUUGGUUUAUAAGUUCUGAUAUGGAAAUUUCUUGAACAACAGAUUUUCCCAGCGGUGAUUUCCUUGCGAGAAAUUCUUGAGAUAUGCGUUGCAUUGUAGGUCGAGCCUUGGGUUUUGACUGCAAGCAUGCAAAUGCCACUGUUGAAACAAGAAUAAUAUCAUGAACAACCCUUCGAUCAACUGGAAAUGGGAGACGUUGGUCUAAAACAUCGAUCAACCUAAUCUUCCGACCAGAUGAUGACGAUAAAGAUGAAAGAAGAUCUGUUGGAUGACUUCCCAUUAAUACUUCUAGUGCCACUACGCCAAAGCUAUAAACAUCACAUUUCUCUGUCACAGCCAUGGUGUAGGCAAGUUCUGCAACAAAAUAGAACCCAUUGUAGAAUUUCAUUGCACAAGUAAACAACACAAAAAAAAAAAAAAAAAGAAUAAGCAUUUGAUUAUCUGUUUCUGAAAGCUUCUGCAGCUAGAUAUUUAAGAGAUAUCUGAUUGAUUUUUAAAUACAUUCAAUGUAUAAACACGAGUAAGAAGCAUGAAAAGAAUAGAUAAAGGUUACCUGGAGCAAUAUAUCCAUAUGUUCCCACCACUAGAGUUCUGUUGGAGGAAUCUGGAUGCAGGAGCCUAGCCAAACCAAAAUCAGCAACAAAUGCCUCUAGGUUUGAGUUAAGUAGAAUGUUAUUGCUGGAUAUGUCGCGGUGAACAAUGGAUGGCUUGCAGUCAUAAUGCAGGUAAGACAAAGCAUGAGCCAUGCUCUUUACAAUGUUCACUCUCUUUGUCCAAUCCAACUCAACUGCUUCAACAUCAUUGCGUAACACACAAAACAAGCUUCCCCUCUCCAUGUACUCAUAGAUCAAAAACAUGCACUUGUUGUGCAAACAGAAACCAUAAAGCUUCACUAUAUUACGAUGCCGUAUUUGGGACAGUAGACGAGCUUCGGUUUGGAAACUUUCCAGGAAAGCUGGCUCCUCUGUCUCUGAACGGUGAAGUUUCUUCAAAGCAACUAGUUUUCCACUAGACAAUUGCGCUCUGUAAACGCUGCCAUAACCUCCGGUUCCAAUGCAAUAUUUGAUGUGGAAAUCCUCUGUCGCUUCAAUCAUCUCUUCAAAUGUAAUUCUACCAUCAUAAUUCCAUAUGGAGAACUCAUUAGCCCCCUCGGUCAUUUCUCGGGUAUUAGGAUUAAAUUUCUUAUCCUUUCGUCUAUGGACAAACAAGAUACCAAAAAUUAAGAUUGCCAAAACAAAUGCCACCAUAGCAAGAAUGAUUGUGACCAAGCGAGUGACGAUCUUUCGCUGCUUCCCUUUGUUGCCUUUGAACGGUGUUGCUUGGGGUGGCGGUGCAUUUUCUGAACUAGUUGAGUUUUCUAACUCUAGAUUAUUUUCUGACACUAUCAAUUUGGGAAUUCUUCGGACAGAUGCAGGGAUAACGCCGGAGAGGUUAUUCUUGGAAAGAUCCACGGCAGAAAUGUUUGGAAUUUUUCCGAGUUGUGAAGGUAUCGUGCCAUUUAUGAAGUUACGGCUUAAAUCAAGUUGUCUCAAAAAUAUAAGGUUGCCUAUCUCCGAUGGAAUGCUUCCGCUUAAACUGU